RNAcentral lists this ribosomal RNA (254 nucleotides) under uncultured bacterium. RNAcentral's name for it is "partial 16S ribosomal RNA". It matches the Rfam family "Bacterial small subunit ribosomal RNA", at positions 524 to 776 of the family's 1533-position model. The record is from RNAcentral.
UACGUAGGGGGCUAGCGUUGUCCGGAAUCAUUGGGCGUAAAGCGCGUGUAGGCGGUUCGGUAAGUCCGCCGUGAAAGUCGGGGGCUCAACCCCUCGGAUGCCGGUGGAUACUGUCGGACUAGAGUACGGAAGAGGCGAGUGGAAUUCCUGGUGUAGCGGUGAAAUGCGCAGAUAUCAGGAAGAACACCGGUGGCGAAGGCGGGUCUCUGGGCAACUACUGACGCUGAGGAGCGAAAGCGUGGGGAGCAAACAGG